AGCGAACGCUGGCGGCAGGCCUAACACAUGCAAGUCGAACGAACCUUUCGGGGUUAGUGGCGGACGGGUGAGUAACACGUGGGAACGUGCCUUUAGGUUCGGAAUAACUCAGGGAAACUUGUGCUAAUACCGAAUGUGCCCUUCGGGGGAAAGAUUAAUCGCCUUUAGAGCGGCCCGCGUCUGAUUAGCUAGUUGGUUGAGGUAAUGGUUCACCAAGGCGACGAUCAGUAGCUGGUCUGAGAGGAUGAUCAGCCACAUUGGGACUGAGACACGGCCCAAACUCCUACGGGAGGCAGCAGUGGGGAAUCUUGCGCAAUGGGCGAAAGCCUGACGCAGCCAUGCCGCGUGAAUGAUGAAGGUCUUAGGAUUGUAAAAUUCUUUCACCGGGGACGAUAAUGACGGUACCCGGAGAAGAAGCCCCGGCUAACUUCGUG
Molecule: ribosomal RNA, 434 nt
Filed under: uncultured bacterium
Lineage: Bacteria
Description: partial 16S ribosomal RNA
Rfam family: Bacterial small subunit ribosomal RNA
Source: RNAcentral